Long non-coding RNA from Thunnus maccoyii (southern bluefin tuna), 455 nucleotides. RefSeq lists it as uncharacterized. The record is from RefSeq and is a predicted model, not a curated record. Lineage: Eukaryota; Metazoa; Chordata; Actinopteri; Scombriformes; Scombridae. The transcript is spliced from 4 exons.
UAACGUGUAACGUGUAACGUGUUCUGUUUUUAUUCCAUUUCAUCAGGACUCAUCUCCAGGAUCAGAAGUCUGAAACAACAGGCUUUCAGUCAGUCAGUCAGUGGAUUCAUCAAUAAACUGAUCAGUCAGUUAACAGAAUACACCGAACAACCAUCAACCAACAUACAAACUCCAGGACUCUUUGAUGAAUCAAACCUCUGGAUGGAGACUGAAGUUUCGACUGAUAACAUGAGAGACAACAGAGUCCUUCCUGCGAAGAGUCACGCCUGAAGACGAGGUCCUCAUUUCAGAGCAGAGACACAACAGCUAAUCUUAUCUGGACGGGUGGAUUCGACAUGGACAGUAGAAUCCAGUAGAGUCUGGGCAGGAAAGUUCUGGUCAUUCAAGAUCUCAGUUUGGACUUCAGACGGAGUGAUCCAAUACAGAGAAGAGGAGCUGAAGGAGACACGAGAGGA